Molecule: ribosomal RNA, 306 nt
Filed under: uncultured fungus
Lineage: Eukaryota; Fungi
Description: eukaryotic LSU rRNA
Rfam family: 5.8S ribosomal RNA (bases 1-52)
Source: RNAcentral
AACGCAUCUUGCGCUCCUUGGUAUUCCGAGGAGCAUGCCUGUUUGAGUGUCGUGAAAUCUUCAACCUCGUUUCGCUUUGUGUGGAGUGAGGCUUGGAUUGUGGGGGCUGCCGGGUCUUGACUCGGCUCCUCUGGAAAGCAUCAGCGCGGUGUUUCCGACGCGACUCGUGGUGUUGUAGGCACAAACUUGCACCUUCGACGUGGUCGUGGCGGGGCCGGGCUUCCAAUCUGGAUUUUGUCCUUAGCCGGAUGAAUCCGUUCUUUUCAAUCUGACCUCAAAUCAGGUAGGACUACCCGCUGAACUUAA